GCGUGAGUGAAGAAGGCCUUAGGGUUGUAAAGCUCUUUCAGUGGGGAAGAUGAUGACGGUACCCACAGAAGAAGCCCCGGCUAACUCCGUGCCAGCAGCCGCGGUAAUACGGAGGGGGCUAGCGUUGUUCGGAAUUACUGGGCGUAAAGGGCACGCAGGCGGCCUUGCCAGUCAGGUGUGAAAGCCCCGGGCUUAACCUGGGAACUGCACUUGAUACUGUGAGGCUUGAGACCGGGAGAGGGUGGUGGAAUUCCCAGUGUAGAGGUGAAAUUCGU
This 275-nucleotide ribosomal RNA is filed under the name uncultured bacterium. Its description in RNAcentral is "partial 16S ribosomal RNA". It matches the Rfam family "Bacterial small subunit ribosomal RNA", at positions 399 to 691 of the family's 1533-position model. The record is from RNAcentral.